UCAGUUUCAAUCUCCGCUGGUCCU
Molecule: non-coding RNA, 24 nt
Filed under: Arabidopsis thaliana (thale cress)
Lineage: Eukaryota; Viridiplantae; Streptophyta; Magnoliopsida; Brassicales; Brassicaceae
Source: RNAcentral